RNAcentral lists this microRNA precursor (77 nucleotides) under Myotis myotis. RNAcentral's name for it is "mir-9193 microRNA precursor family". It matches the Rfam family "mir-9193 microRNA precursor family". Lineage: Eukaryota; Metazoa; Chordata; Mammalia; Chiroptera; Vespertilionidae. RNAcentral also lists the same sequence under 1 other name. The record is from Rfam by way of RNAcentral.
CAUGCACUGGGGGGUGGGUCCCUCAGCCCAAAUUGCAAGAGGGCACAGGCCAGGCCGAGGGACCCCACCAGUGCACA